Molecule: ribosomal RNA, 497 nt
Filed under: uncultured bacterium
Lineage: Bacteria
Description: partial 16S ribosomal RNA
Rfam family: Bacterial small subunit ribosomal RNA
Source: RNAcentral
GAUGAACGCUGGCGGCGUGCCUAAUACAUGCAAGUCGAGCGAACGGACGAGAAGCUUGCUUUUCUGACGUUAGCGGCGGACGGGUGAGUAACACGUGGAUAACCUACCUAUAAGACUGGGAUAACUUCGGGAAACCGGAACUAAUACCGGAUAAUAUUUUGAACCGCAUGGUUCAAUAGUGAAAGACGGUCUUGCUGUCACUUAUAGAUGGAUCCGCGCUGCAUUAGCUAGUUGGUAAGGUAACGGCUUACCAAGGCAACGAUGCAUAGCCGACCUGAGAGGGUGAUCGGCCACACUGGAACUGAGACACGGUCCAGACUCCUACGGGAGGCAGCAGUAGGGAAUCUUACGCAAUGGGCGAAAGCCUGACGGAGCAACGCCGCGUGAGUGAUGAAGGUCUUCGGAUCGUAAAACUCUGUUAUUAGGGAAGAACAAAUGUGUAAGUAACUGUGCACAUCUUGACGGUACCUAAUCAGAAAGCCACGGCUAACUACGUG